RNAcentral lists this transfer RNA (85 nucleotides) under Felis catus (domestic cat). It matches the Rfam family "tRNA". From Rfam's summary of the family: Transfer RNA (tRNA) molecules are approximately 80 nucleotides in length. Their secondary structure includes four short double-helical elements and three loops (D, anti-codon, and T loops). The record is from Rfam by way of RNAcentral. Lineage: Eukaryota; Metazoa; Chordata; Mammalia; Carnivora; Felidae.
GCCUGGGUGGCUCAAUCGGUUGAGCGUCUGACUUCAGCUCAGGUCAUGAUCUCACAGUCUGUGAGUUCGAGCCCCAUGUCAGGCU